CAGUCGAACGGACUUAUACUGAAACCUAGUGAUUUAUGAGUUAGUGGCGGACGGGUGAGUAACGCGUGGAUAACCUGCCGUAUACCGGGGGAUAACACUUAGAAAUAGGUGCUAAUACCGCAUAAGCGCACGGCUCCGCAUGGGGCAGUGUGAAAAACUCCGGUGGUAUACGAUGGAUCCGCGUCUGAUUAGCUAGUUGGCGGGGUAACGGCCCACCAAGGCAGCGAUCAGUAGCCGGCCUGAGAGGGUGGACGGCCACAUUGGGACCGAGACACGGCCCAAACUCCUACGGGAGGCAGCAGUGGGGAAUAUUGCACAAUGGGGGAAACCCUGAUGCAGCGACGCCGCGUGAGUGAAGAAGUAUCUCGGUACGUAAAGCUCUAUCAGCAGGGAAGAAAAUGACGGUACCUGACUAAGAAGCCCCGGCUAACUACGUGCCAGCAGCCGCGGUAAUACGUAGGGGGCAAGCGUUAUCCGGAUUUACUGGGUGUAAAGGGAGCGUAGACGGCAGCACAAGUCUGGAGUGAAAUCCCGGGGCUUAACCCCGGAACUGCUUUGGAAACUGUGCGGCUGGAGUGCAGGAGGGGUAAGCGGAAUUCCUAGUGUAGCGGUGAAAUGCGUAGAUAUUAGGAGGAACACCGGUGGCGAAGGCGGCUUACUGGACUGUAACUGACGUUGAGGCUCGAAAGCGUGGGGAGCAAACAGGAUUAGAUACCCUGGUAGUCCACGCCGUAAACGAUGAUUACUAGGUGUCGGGGGAUCAAGGUCCUCCGGUGCCGGCGCAAACGCAUUAAGUAAUCCACCUGGGGAGUACGUUCGCAAGAAUGAAACUCAA
This 835-nucleotide ribosomal RNA is filed under the name uncultured bacterium. RNAcentral's name for it is "bacterial SSU rRNA". It matches the Rfam family "Bacterial small subunit ribosomal RNA", at positions 59 to 904 of the family's 1533-position model. The record is from RNAcentral.